UGGGCAUCCCGCAGUGACCAAGACAGACCUGGUCUGGCCCUCUCAGAGCUCACCCUCUGCUGACGACGGCAGGCACCGAGAGCAUCAUGACCCCAUCGUUCAGCAUGUUGCAGUCCUGACGGGCACUAAGGAGAGGGCUGCGCAGACCACGGGGAGGACUUUGAACUUCGCCCUGAGAGCAGUUUGAAGCCACUGGAGGAGUUUAGACGGGGGAAUGACACGAUUCCACUUAUGUUUUGAAAACAGUCCUCUGGCUGUGGGGUCAAGGGCAUGAGCAGCAGCAGAAAGCAGCUUGGAGUUUGUGAUGGGGACAUGUUUCCACAGUGGGCUUCCUCCUGGACCACGCUGGUUUACUAACGGCCCUUCCGAAGCUUGUCAAGAGGCCUGGUCUUCACAGCUACUGGCUGCAGCCCUACCCUAGACACUAGGUUCUGUUAAUGCAGCCCAGGGCUGCCCUUGCAUUUAUAGGCCUGCAGGCUGCUGCUAAGCAUGGGAUCAGCCAAGCCCCCUGGAUCUGUGUGAGGGGUGCUUUGAACCCAAGAGCCUACAAGGGAAGCUGGGGCCGUGUCUGCUGCCUCUGAGGAAGGAAGUCUGGCUUUGAACAUCUUUGGGAAGCUGGACGCCUGCCUCAUGGGCCAUGCCUGGAGCAACACUGCCCCCUCAUGGCCUGCUCUUCAGGUGCAGUCAGUGGAUGUUCGGUGAACUCAGAGCUGCCCUGGGAACUCCACCCGCCUGGCCUGAGGUCCACAGAGCUGCCCUCAAGAACCCCACCUCUUUCCCCUCUGGAGGUCCAUAGAGCUCAGAACUGUCCUCAGGGAACCCCACUCCAUCUCUCCUGAGGUCCACAGAGCUGUCCUCUGGCAGCCCACCCCACCUUCCUUGAGGUCUACAGGCUGCCUCUCAGUCUGCCGUCACCCGAGUUCUUGCCUGUCUUUGGCAGCCUGUCAGUCUGUCUUCAGCUGUGUGUACCUGGGAGUGUCUCUCUUUUGGGCUUGUGUUAGCCUUUGCUGCCUGGGCAUAUCUGUCUAUCUGUCCUGCUGGCUUGGGCCGCCUGUCUCUCUGUGUCUGUGAUCAGCACCUCCUCUCUCUCUUUCCAUUGAUCUCCACCUCACUCUGCCCAGGUCCCUGUUUCUGCUGCUUUGUCUCUGACUUGCUCCCUGCAGCCCUCCGCUGUCCGUGUCCUGGAGCUUGGGUCAUGGCUGCCUUCCCUCCAGUGUGGGACUGAUUUGGCUUUUUCUGCGAUGAGUCAGGAACUCCUGGAGGGAUGAGGGCUCUGGCCCCGCCCAGCAGUGGCCUCAGAGAGGAUGCAGGAGGCAGGAGGAGCUUUGGGCCUGGCCGAGGACUGUGACAAGAGAUUUUCCAAAAUAUUCUCCUGGGGCUGGGGUGGGUGGAUUCCAGCAGAUGUCUAAGGAGAAUGAGCGAGCUGGCUGUCCACCAGCGUGGAGCUGUGCUGUGGGGCUGUUCUCGCUGCUGCCUGUGUACAGGGCUUUCCUAAUCUCCUCAAUCCUCACCUGGCUUUCUGUCUCCUCAGGGCCUUAGCACAAAUUGUUUCUCCUUCUUGGAAUAAUCUUCCCCCUGAACCCUCACCUUAGAAACCACUUCCUCUAGGAAGUCUUCCCUGAUUUACACCCUCUGGGAUGGGGCCCUCCUCUGUGCCAGGACAGCGCCCUCUACUUCAUCAGUGUUACCUGGUUACGGUCUGCCUGCCCGCCUUGUGUGUCUGUUGCUGUAUCUUCAGUGUGUGGCUCUUUCUGGCUUUCAGUAAAUACCUGUUGCAAGAACAUUCGGGAGUCCCAUCUGAUUUCACCAAAUGUUGCCUCCUCCUUGAAGCCUCCUCUCCCCUCUCUUCUCUUAGGACUGUGCUGCCCAAUAUUGUAGCCAUUAGUUACUUGUGACUAUUUACAUUUAAACUAAGUAAAAUUAAGAAUUCAGUUCCUCAGUAACGAUAGACCCAUUUCGAAUGCCCAGUGUCCACAUGUGGCUAGUGGCUACUGACCGACUGGACAGUGCAGAAACAGAACAUUGGCGUCAUGACAGACGGUCCUGUUGGUCAGCACCGUCUUAGGAC
This 2068-nucleotide long non-coding RNA is filed under the name Equus caballus (horse). Its description in RNAcentral is "lncRNA (ENSECAG00000050367.1)". The record is from RNAcentral. Lineage: Eukaryota; Metazoa; Chordata; Mammalia; Perissodactyla; Equidae.